Non-coding RNA from Oryctolagus cuniculus (rabbit), 7356 nucleotides. Lineage: Eukaryota; Metazoa; Chordata; Mammalia; Lagomorpha; Leporidae. The record is from RefSeq and is a predicted model, not a curated record.
UCCAGCACAUUGGGCCAGCUACCGGGAGAUGUUAAGAGACUUGAUCAUGAUUCAUCGUCAUUGCCCCAGAGAUGGAUGCAGAAGAAAUACUUCUCCCCUAAUCUGCCUCUCCAGAGUCCCACGGAAAAACAACAGCAGAGUCUCUCUCAGAGCUAAUGUUUGGCAGAGGCAGUGACUUCUCCUCGGUGUUAUCUAGGGAUAAUCCAUCCACAUGGUUGUUAUCCCAGGCUGGCUUGAAGAUUAGAAAGCCUGGUGGUGGAGACGGGCCCGGCUGAAUGGAGCAGGAGGCCCACUCCUCCGGCGAACAAGGCCCUGGGAAGCCAUCCAACUGUGGAGAGCAUGUGCGGGGCCCUGAAUAGGCAAGCAGCAGGCCGGCCCAUAUGUCAGCCUGUGCCACAAAGACUCCUCUGCAUAUCUACCAUGACAAACAGGAUUACCGAAGACAAUUAAUCUGGCACGCUUUAUCAAAAUCAAGCACUGACCCCCGACCUCUCCCCCUCGGUGUGCGGCAGAUGCCACGCUCCGAUUCAAUAGGCCUCGAGUGUUCCCUUUUUCUCAUCUGAAAAGCAUCCAAGGCCUGAAUAAGGCUGGUCUGGACUAAUUGCAAGGACCGUGUGACGGCGACAGUCGGCAUCAAUAGGACGAGUCCACCUUUUCCCCCACUCGCGCGGAGGGGCUGCCCAUAGCUCCUGGCCUGCAGCAGAAAAGGAGAGAAAUGCUUCCAUUUUCCUCUUAUUCUUCUUGUCUGCAGCCUGAGGGGUGGGAGAGGGGACAGGAUGAGGGAGGUGCUGUUGUGUGUGUGCCCCUUGAUACUGGGGUGCCCAGUGCUCAUGGGAGAGGAUCUACCUGCAGCUCAGAGCGUAAUGGUUGUCAUAAAUUAGUGAAUUCUUAGGGGAGAGAACAGAGCGCCAAAGCCUUUGGAGGUGACAAAAUCUCAAACCAUGACUCUGCCUUCUCCAUGAACAUCCAUCCAGUUUAUCCAGUUUGUACAUCUGCACCUUUUGUGUGCUCCUGAUAACAACAACCCUGGAGCUGUGUCUUUCAGGAAUCUUCACAACACUGCCCGAUUAUUCAAAAAGGAGUCCUUUGUAGGAAGGACACCUUUGUAAUCUUUCUGGAAGUUUUGAAGACCUGGGAGACCUCUGGCCAUACCUCUUCCUCCCAGAGGAGGCUGUGGGUGAAUGUGCCGGUCAGAGUCAGAGGUGUUCAGAAGGUACUGGAGCUCUGGCUUCUGAUUCUCUCUGAAGGAGCAACUGCUGUGUGAUUUUCUUUCUGGGUCAGUUAAUAAAAUGGGGUGGAAACAAUCAAAGUUCAAUUAUUUGGAGAAGGCAGAGAUUUGGUAUAGAGUAUAUAAACAAAGUCAGAGCCUUGGAGAGUUUUGCUUGUAUUCACUAGACCUGAAGAAAUUGAAGAUGAUAAACAUUCCAACAAAAGGCAUGGGAGUCUGGAUAUCAAAGUGGGCGGGAACAUGGUACUCACCUGAAUUGUUGUGACAUUAGGCCCGUCUGAGAUGCCCUAAGUCAGGGUCACUGUCUUUGUAGGUUCCUGACUCGGGGGGCAUUAACUCUUGGAAAGUACAAGGGCUGAACCCUCAAGAAACUCCCUGUGUCAUUUCAAUCAAGCCUGGGUGGGGACUGCUCUCUGCAUGGGGAUCCACUACAGAGCUCCUUGCAUUUAGAAAGCAAUUUUCCUUGAACACAGAAUUCUCCCCUAAAAAAUGAGAAUCGGGGUUGUUCAUUCAUAUAAGAAAUUGGUUGCUAUUAAAUUAUUAAUGAGUUCAGGGAUUUGCAUUCUCCAAGAUGGGAAAGAUCAUCUCCAAGCAAUGUUAAGACACUUAUAUGUAAAACACUUAAAAGAUAGAGAAGAAUAUCUAAAACAUCAUGUAUAAAGGAGGUAAAAUAAUUAAGCACAUUAAGAAUGUUAUUUUUUUUAUACUAGCAGUAAAAACCAGGGGCUUAAGUGAUAUUUUUCUAUAGGCUUUAACUUAGAAGGAAAUAACAUAUAUGAGUAUUUCUGUCUGUUUCUUUUAUCCUACAAGACAUGAACCAGAGUUUUAGAUACAAAAGAAGAUUUGAGUAUAAUCAUGGGUGUAUGAGGCAUAGGUUUCUUAGGCAAUAAAAAUUCAUUGAGUAAAUACUUAACUAGAGAGUUUUGGCCUCUAGAACUGCUUUCCAUUCUGGCUUCCCAGCUUUACUAAAUAAUCUUGGUAUUUUAACAUCAGAAGACCCACUCACCCAGACAUAAAUGUACACACAUGGAUGGGGUGGUCAGGGGCUAGUUAUUAAAAUGAUCCUGAACAAAGCUAAUUUUCAGGACUGUGGAAGUGAGAUAAAAUGAAGCCCUGCCUUCACUUGGUAGGCAAAAGACAGAGGAGGGGGUUCAGGCUGGCCGGUGUCAGAUCUAAGGAAUCAAUCCAUGGUGUCAUGAUUACUGUAGGACUCUUUUCCUGGAGGGGACAAUAGCUAUGCUGAUAAGCAAGAAGCCAUUGUCCUUGGUAAACCAGCUGCUGCAGGCCAGCUUGCUGGGUCAGGCACACACUCGCCCUUCAGUAUUGCCUGGGUGCUUGGAACAUAGUGCAGGUGCAACUGAUCUCUCCUCACUUGCAAAUCUGCAAUCCUUCCUGUGCUCACAUUUCAUGUGAGCAUCUCAGAAAAUUCACCUUGCCCUUGGCACAUCCAGAAACCCUUGGAGUAACCCACCGCUAGGUGCUAGGUAAACAAUGGAAAAAUUAUCCCUGCCCCAGCCCCUUUUUCUCCCUUCUCCCGAAUCUCUAAAUAGUUAAAACACCUCCCUGAACACAGAGAUGAACACUGCUUAAAUAGUUUACUGUCAGAAAUAUUGAGUACGUUUUAGUAGGAUGGGCUUUGCAAGCACUGCAGUACAAAAGCUGAGGCCAUCAAGGUUUUUGGGCAGGUUUUUCGGGCAGGUUUUUCAUUUAACUUGUCAUAUUAUAUAUUGCAGAUGUGCAAUUCUGGAUCAGUGUACAUCAGCUUCCAGGACAGGGGAAGCUGCAGAGUGGGUUGCAUGGGCAGCACAUGGGCUAAACAGAAGGUGGCAGCAUUUCAACAUUGUCAGGGACAGGUGCACGCAGCACGCACUCCAGAGCCAUUGCCAUGACUAUUGGGGUAUUGUCUAGAUUCCUAAUGAAGAGUUUACAUCUUCCUACCACGGCAGCAAGAAGUAGAAGCACAGAGUGAUGAGAGAUUUAUUCAUAUAGGAGAACACGGGACAAUUUGCUGCUCCGUUGGCAAAAUGCACUGCAAAUAGAAGCAGAAGUGGGGAGCCCAGGUCUGCAAUCAUAAAGCAAUGUCAAGCAAGGAGAAAUGUUGAUCAGUACAUAUUGUAGGUAUGUAUUGAAAUGUGGCCUACAAAUAUAUACACACAUUAUUAAUCAAUUUUUAAAAUAGACUGCAAGUAGGACACAAAGAGUUGUGCUGGAACAUCUAUGAACUAUUAGAAAGUUUUCCUUUAUUGGCAUUAAAGGUAAGAAUGUAUCAAAAUCAUGCCUAGAAUGGAAUAAGCAAAUUUAGUCUUUUCUGCUUCCUUCCCAAAGAACUUCAUGGAACUAAUUAACAACUGGGAAAACUGUGGUCUGUCAGAAAAUGGUGGUCUAUUAUGAGCUGUUUCUGAACAGGCUGUGAUCCUUAGGGUUAUGUGUUAGUGUUGAAAUUCUAGAUUAAUUCUAAGCUCCAUCCAUUACAGGACAGCUAGCAGAAAUCUCUGAGCUUCAAUUUCUUCAUUUGUAAACCAAAAUAACUUAGUUAGCUUAUCUAUCAGAUAACUGAUAGUGUUGUGAUAGUUUAUGGGAUGAUGUAUGUAAAUUGGAGUGCCUGGUUCUUAAUAGAUACUCAAUAAACCUUUUAUUUAUGAUCAUUAUCAUUAAUAUGAUUAUUUAUUUUACUAUAUUCAAACAUUUACAUACAUUAUAUGACUUGUCUUACAACAAUUCUGAGAAGUAAACAGGAAAGAAAUCUUUAUUUCACUUUAUAAUCAGGCCUAGUUCAUGGUGCAUGUGGUUAAGGGACAUUCAAUAGGUUUAUGCCCCAAGAAAGAAUAUGAUAUUUUGCAAGCCAAGUUUCUUCUCUGGAACAAUGUUUCUCAUAAAUUAAAUAAAAAUAUUGAAUCGGAGAUGAGGAAUUUGUAACUCCAUCAUUUGGUUUAACUAACUGCAUAAUAAGCAGAGAGCAAGUGGGAAAUUAAUUGCAUUUUAAUCUUAAUGGUAAUUUGCUACAAAUCAAGACAAUACCUGUUUGUUAUGGUCACACAGAGCUUUUAUGCCUUACAAAGAAUUAGAAACAACAUAUGGGAACACAGGGCUCUUAUGAAACCCAACCAAUAAACUCAAAGUAUAAGCUCUUUGCGAAAGAAAUACUGCUUUGUUUAAUACAUUGCCAGGCACUUGACUGUAUUUUGUAGGCAUCUAGAGUCCCCAUCCAUUAGCUCCUUAUCUGGAGAGGGCUUCUGAAAUUAAUCUGACCUAAAUUUGCUAUACAUAUUCUGGAAUGAGUGCAAUUAUCAAUAACACUAUUUAAAGGAAUGACCUUCAAAUGAGAACAAGAAAACAUUAGUGAGAGCCAUUCAGCCAACAGCGUCUGCUGAGAAGUGGGGUGUUUUAUUUAUGACUAUUGUUUUGAUAAAACAUCUGAAAUUUCACUAUUGUUUCAUGUGAACAACUGCCACAGUUAGGAUUUUUUUUUUCACAACAUCAUUUUGUACCAUUAUAGCACAUAGGAGAAAUCCUGCUUCAUGCAUGACCUCAGCUAUCAUUAAGAUCAUUGUCAAAGUUUCAUUCCAUCACCCAAGAUGUGUUUUAAUUGCCACAUCUAAUGCAAGGCUGUAGCUGUAUUUUAUAGCUUUAAAUUAAACCUUUUGUUAUAAUGGCAAGAUCUGCCAGAGUUUUAAUAAUUUAGAUGUGAAAAAAAUAAUCUGUCAUUCUAAGACUGUCAAAAUAGGAGAUAGCAACAUAGGUUUUAAAGCCCUUCUCUCUCAUCAACUCUCCUAUUCAUGACAAACAUCUGAGCUGCCUGCCUUCUACUCCUGACAAUUGACUUGAUAUUGAACUGGUAUAUGUCCCAAGAUUUCUACAAAUCUUCAAAUUUAUAAGCAUUCUUAUAACAGAAUAUCACAAGCUGUACAAGAAAUUGAUGAUGACUAAUGUGGUAGAGACAUUUACUCUAUAUUGGAUAACAGUGUGUGCCCUCUACAAUUUUCCACACCUUAAAGUUAUCCUGGAGGGUGUGAACGUAUUAUCUGGCCAAUGGACUAGUAUUGGAAAGGACAUAUCUCUCUGAAGGGUUGGACCACCAAAACACUACACUGAAACCCUCCUACAUUCUCUUUUACAGUCAGGGAAAAAUAGCAUAGAUUUAUGAAUAACUGAAAAUAAAUUUCAUAUAGAACCUCUGAUCCACAAAAAUAACAAUUUUGCUUGUUGCUGCUUCAAAUUUAGUCUAACCAAAAUGAUACAUUUGGACAUUAAAUCUCAACUCUCUGUGUCUUUGGUGAACUACACAAUGAAAGACCAUUUUCUAUCACACUCCAAUUCCAUUACAUGUGGCUGGUUUAGGUCAUACGGAGAAUUGUUGCUUUAAACUGAGAAAAAAGAGACCACCACAAGAAGAAGAUAAUUGUCACUCAACAAAGCUUUUUCACUAUAAAAUAAACUUUUACAUCAGCCAACUAGUACCCACAUAUUCAAAAAUUUUAUUCUGAAUCUUUCCAAAUCUAUUUCCUAGAUUACCACUAAUGCCUAUUUGCACUUAGACCACGCCUCAUCCUGCUUUUGAAUUUUAACUCAGAUGUAACUUACUAUUAAAAAACAAAUGCAUGAGAUUAUCUGUUCUUUAAUUUUUCCCAUCAGUCAGGAUCUGAUCAGUUGACUAUCUAUUUAACAGAAAUAACUCAAUGCUAGUAUUUUUAACAGGGGUGGGUGUUAGGUACAACAGUUAAGACACCAUUUGGCUUUCCUGCCUCCAAUAUGAAGGUGUCAGAGUUCAAGCCCAAGCUCCACUCUUGAUUCCAGCUUCCUGCUAACGUGCACUUUAAAACCAGCAGAGUGGCCGGCACCGCGGCUCACUAGGCUAAUCCUCCGCCUAGCGGCGCCGGCACACCGGGUUCUAGUCCCGGUCGGGGCGCCGGAUUCUGUCCCGGUUGCCCCUCUUCCAGGCCAGCUCUCUGCUGUGGCCCGGGAGUGCAGUGGAGGAUGGCCCAGGUGCUUGGGCCCUGCACCCCAUGGGAGACCAGGAAAAGCACCUGGCUCCUGGCUCCUGCCAUUGGAUCAGCGCGGUGCGCCGGCCGCAGUGCGCUGGCCGCGGCGGCCAUUGGAGGGUGAACCAACGGCAAAAGGAAGACCUUUCUCUCUGUCUCUCUCUCUCACUGUCCACUCUGCCUGUAAAAAAAAAAAAAAAAAAAAAGCAGAGUUAUCUGUAACCUCAUUGUAACCUCAUGUUUACUGCAGCGCAAUUCAUAAUAGCUAAGAUAUGGAAUCAACCCAAAUGUCCAUUAACUGAUAGCUGAUAAAGAAAUCAUGAGAUACUACUUAGCCAUAAAAAGAAUUAAAUCCUAUCUUUUGCAACAAAAUGGAUACAGCUGGAAAUCAUUAUACUUUGUGAAAUAAGCCAGUCACAAAAAGACAAACACCAUGUUUUCUCUGAUCUGUGGUAACAAAUAGAAUACCAAAAUUAUAAUAUAUAGGAGUGAAAUUCAUGUUUUGAGAUUUGAUGAUUGUUUACAACUCUUGUCUCUAUUAUUGAGGGACAGUAUUUUGUUUUCUUACUAUUUGUUGAACUGUUCAUUUAGUGAAGUGUUACUCUUGUCAAUAUAAAGUAAACAGAAAGUAGGCCAUUGUAAAAAUUAAGAGAUGGAAUUAGAGGAAGGAGAAGGAAGGAUAGGAGCAUGGGCUGGAGGGAGGCCAGGGUGGGAAGUAUCACCAUGUUUCUAAAUCUGUAUUUCUGAAAUACAUGAAAUUUGUUUACCUUGAAUUAAAAAAAUGAAAAAAUAAGAGGUACUAGUUGAUUACUCAAGUACUUAGGUCCCUGCUACUCACAUGGGAAACCUGAAUUGAGUUCCUGGCUCCUGGCUUCGGUAUGACCCAUCAUUUACUGAUGCAAGCACUAGUGGAGUGAACCAGUAGAUGGACAUUCUCUCUCUCUCUCUCUUUGUGUGUGUGUGUGUCCCCCCCUCCCUGUCUUCUCUUCCCCACUUUCAAAAUAAAUAAAUAAAUAAACAAAUAAAUAAAAUUGUUGUGACUAGUUUACUAAAAAUUUCAAGUCACUGCACUAAAACAUGCCACAUAAUAAUUAGAAAUAUAUGUAUAUAAUCAUGCUAGCAUUUACACAAAUACUAGUUUUUGAAAUU